GCCAGGCAUGGUGGCACGUGCCUGUGGUCCCAGCUACUCAGGAGGCUGAGAUGGGAGGAUCACUUGAAUCCAGGAGGUCAGGGCUGCAGUGAGCCAAGAUUGCACCACUGCACUCCACCCUGGGUGACAAAGUGAGACCCUGUCUCAA
Molecule: non-coding RNA, 148 nt
Organism: Homo sapiens (human)
Lineage: Eukaryota; Metazoa; Chordata; Mammalia; Primates; Hominidae
Rfam family: Metazoan signal recognition particle RNA
About the family: The signal recognition particle (SRP) is a universally conserved ribonucleoprotein.
Source: Rfam